GACGCCUACGUAAACAAGUCGACAAGUAAGAUACACACAUGCACACAAAUACAUACAUACAUACAUACAUACACACACACACACACACACACACACACACUAAUACACUGUAAAAAAAAAAAAAAAAAAACCUCACUCAGCUCAAACACAACCAGGAAAAAAGUUUUAAAUCUCCAACAAUAAAAAGAGUUCUGAGCCAGGGACGUCUACAGUACAGGUGAGGAGGUGUCUACAGGUGAAGGAGUCUACAGGUGAGGGACGUCUACAGGUGAAGGACGUCUACAGGUGAAGGAGUCUACAGGUGAAGGAGUCUACAGGUGAGGAGUUGUCUACAGGUGAAGGAGUCUACAGGUGAAGGAGGUGUCUACAGGUGAAGGAGUCUACAGGUGAGGAGGUGUCUACAGGUGAAGGAGUCUACAGGUGAAGGACGUCUACAGGUGAAGGAGUCUACAGGUGAGGGACGUCUACAGGUGAAGGAGUCUACAGGUGAGGAGUUGUCUACAGGUGAAGGAGUCUACAGGUGAAGGAGGUGUCUACAGGUGAAGGAGUCUACAGGUGAGGAGGUGUCUACAGGUGAAGGAGUCUACAGGUGAAGGAGGUGUCUACAGGUGAAGGAGGAGUCUACAGGUGAAGGAGUCUACAGGUGAAGGAGUCUACAGGUGAAGGAGGAGUCUACAGGUGAAGGAGGUGUCUACAGGUGAGAAGCAAAGUUUAAAUUUAACAUGAAUUUUAACAUCUGUUUUCAUCUAAACCAGAUUAAUCUGUUACCGACUUCAAUUAGUCCCGUUCGAGUCCUUCUGUUAUCUACUAGUGUUAAUGUUUCCAAACAAAGUAUUUAAAAAAUCUGAACACAGUCUCUGAAGGUCAGGGGUCAGAGGUCAGGGGACCAGAGGUCAUAUUCAGAUCUAACUAACCACCGUCUGUUUGAUGGACAGAAACACUUUGACAGAUUGAGCUUCAUUCACACAACAAUAAAAAACAAAGAAGAAAAAGGCUGUGAAGUAAACA
Lates calcarifer (barramundi perch) is the source of this 1008-nucleotide long non-coding RNA. RefSeq lists it as uncharacterized. The transcript is spliced from 5 exons. NCBI's taxonomy places the organism in Eukaryota, Metazoa, Chordata, Actinopteri, Centropomidae. The record is from RefSeq and is a predicted model, not a curated record.